GCCUCAGUACGGCGAGUGAGCGGCAAAAGCUCAAAUUUGAAAUCUAGCACCUUCGGUGUUCGAGUUGUAAUUUGAAGAUGGUAACCUUGGGUUUGGCUCUUGUCUAUGUUCCUUGGAACAGGACGUCAUAGAGGGUGAGAAUCCCGUCUGAUGAGAUGCCCAUUCCUAUGUAAGGUGCUAUCGAAGAGUCGAGUUGUUUGGGAAUGCAGCUCUAAGUGGGUGGUAAAUUCCAUCUAAAGCUAAAUAUUGGCGAGAGACCGAUAGCGAACAAGUACAGUGAUGGAAAGAUGAAAAGAACUUUGAAAAGAGAGUGAAAAAGUACGUGAAAUUGUUGAAAGGGAAGGGCAUUAGAUCAGACUUGGUGUUUUACGAUUAUCUUCUCUUCUUGAGUUGUGCACUCGUAUUUCACUGGGCCAGCAUCGAUUCGGAUGGCAAGAUAAUGGCAGUUGAAUGUGGCUUCACUUCGGUGGAGUGUUAUAGCUUCUGCUGAUAUUGCCUGUCUGGAUCGAGGGCUGCGUCUUUUGACUAGGAUGCUGGCGUAAUGAUCUAAUGCCGCCCGUCU
Molecule: ribosomal RNA, 562 nt
Filed under: Hansenula anomala
Lineage: Eukaryota; Fungi; Ascomycota; Saccharomycetes; Phaffomycetales; Wickerhamomycetaceae
Description: eukaryotic LSU rRNA
Rfam family: Eukaryotic large subunit ribosomal RNA
Source: RNAcentral